GCCACUCUGAGCAGACACCUGUCCCUUCGCCACAAUCGGCGACUCCCCAAGGAACUGACGCCCCCAGAGCCACCACCACCGCCGGGACUGCCAGCUGCCAGCGGGCCCCGCAAGCCCUAGGAGCUGCAGGAAUCCUCGUAAACUUACAGUUUUCCUACAGCGUGCGCGUCACAGCGGGGUGACGUCACGGGCCCAGCAGUCGGGGAGGUCAAGCCACGGGGCGCGGGCCGCUGGGCCCCCAGGCUCCGCCCUCGCCCCGCCCCGGCGCCGCGGCGGGAGACACGCCCCCGAGCUCCACGCCCUCGAGCUCCACGCACCUCCCCGUAGCAGACACCCCGCGCAGGCGCAGACGGCCUCUGCGCCCGCAUGCCUGUGGGCUUCGCCGACCGGGGCGCCUGCGGCGGCGACUGCUCUACCAAAGCCUCACUCAAAGCCUGAAGUCGGGGUUAGAGGAGGAGGAGGGGCCGACAAAAGGGGACGGAGACCUUCAGAAAUACUGUAAACAAGCUGUCGCCCUGGGGGCUGGAGUAAGACGCCUGGGUUGUGAGGUAGUUUUUCCACAGACAUUGCCCGCCUUCCUCACGUGUUCGUUAAAAGUUCUCCACGUGUGGAAACAGCCAUUUGCUCUCCAUCAGGUGCUGGCGGGUCCUCAGCCCUGAAAAGACAGCUCUCCCAGGGUCCCUCGCUCCUCCCCGGCUCGACGCGGCUCCCGCUAGACUCCGCCCAGACCCCGAGCAGUCCCCGCCCAUCUCUUGACUAUGCCCCUCCCACGCCCACUUAGGCCUUGCCCCUGGGUCCCGCCCUUCCGGCUCCCGCCCCUGGCUCCCGGCUCCCGCGGGCCCCCACCUGCCCUUCUUGCCCUGGCGCCGCCUCCAGCCCAGCCCGUUUCUUGCAGAUUUUAGCUUCUCCCUUGCCUGCCGCCUUUCCCGUUUCGGCUCGGUGAAGCUACCUAUGGGUUGCUGUUCAUUUAACAAACGGUGAUCCGGAUAAACAUGUUCACUUCUUCGCCUGGGCAAACUUUCCAGCCCCCGACCCACUCAUGUCACGAUACCUUCCCGUGUCCAAGUCCGGCUCUCUGCUCCCCACUUUUUUUUUUUUUUUUUUUUGAGACAGAGUGUUUCUCUGUCUCCCAGGCUGGAGUGCAGUGGCGCGAUCUCAACUCACAGUACCCCCUGCCUCCCGGGUUCAAACGAUUUUCUUGCCUCAGCCUCCUGAGUAGCUGGGAUUACAGGCGCGCGCCACCACAGCCGGCUAAUUUUUAUGUUUUAGUAGAGACAGGGUUUCACCAUGUUGGCCAGGAUGGUCUCCAUCUCUUGACCUCGUGAUCCGCCCGCCUCGGCCUCUCAAGGUGCUGGGAUUACAGGUGUGAGCCGCCGCGCCCGGCCUCUUUGCUCUUUUAUACUCUCAGAAGCAAUGAGUUCUGGUUAAAAAAAAGGGCUCGAUAGACGGAAAAAAUGAAGGCUUAAAGAACUGACAACAAAAUAUUAACAUUUGGCUUGUGGAAUUCUUACACUCUCGUAAGCAGAAAAAACAAAUGUUAUGGCAAAAAAGUGUCUCAGACAAAUCCGUCUUGGGGGGAAAAAAAUUAAAAGAAUGAGAAAAACAGACUUCGGAAUAAAUAGACCCAAAGGAGGAAGUAUUGAAAAUGGCAAGAUUCACUUUUACAAACUUAUUUGGAACCACGGCAGAUGGCCAGGGCAGGGAUUUUGCAAGGCAGCUCCAGUUGAUCAAGACCAAGGGAAACAAAAUCCCAUUCUGCAAUCCCCUUACAUUCCUCUCUUAAGUCCCAGGAUCUGGUUUGAUGAUCUCUUCCCAGGUAAUUGACAUAAAAAUCAGGUCACUCCUGAUUAGAGAUAGGCCCUUGUCUCCAACUCAAACCCAAGAAUAUACUAAUAACAACAAAAUAACCAUCUAUAAAACAAGAGUUACACAGGUUAAAAGGGGGCUUAUUCUGCCAAAGGAGCAGAGAUAGAGACUUUGCUGGAAGAAGACCUGGGACAGAGAUUGGAGAGCUCUGGAGGGAUGUCUGUUUAAUAACAGUCUUACAAGUCUGCAGUUACACAGUUUGCACAGUAUUUCAUCUCAUUUUAUCACCUCCCUUCCCUCAUCAUUUUACUUAGCUAAUUCUCCCCAAUCCUUUAGGUCUCUACUUUGCAGGAACUGACUCUGA
RNAcentral lists this long non-coding RNA (2170 nucleotides) under Homo sapiens (human). RNAcentral describes it as "HSALNT0357146". The record is from RNAcentral. Lineage: Eukaryota; Metazoa; Chordata; Mammalia; Primates; Hominidae.